RNAcentral lists this ribosomal RNA (309 nucleotides) under Pelobates cultripes (western spadefoot toad). RNAcentral describes it as "SSU rRNA". It matches the Rfam family "Eukaryotic small subunit ribosomal RNA", at positions 174 to 430 of the family's 1831-position model. The record is from RNAcentral. Lineage: Eukaryota; Metazoa; Chordata; Amphibia; Anura; Pelobatidae.
UAUAUGUCUGCCAGAGAGUAGGUAAGAGAAGGGACCGGCACAGGGCCCACCUCAAUCCCCUAAACUACCUAUUUGCGAAGAUCCAUUUGUCAGAGUAGUUGUCGACCUAAUAGUUGCGCAGGCAAUUUGGUGACUCUAGAGAACCUCGGGCCAAUUGCACAUUCCUGUGACGGCGACUUUGCAUUCAGAUGUCUGCCCUAUCAACUUUCUAUGCCACUUUCUGCGCCUACCAUGGUGACCACGGGGAAUCAGGGUUCGAUUCCGGAGAGGCACCCUGAGAAACGGCUACCACAUCCAAGGAAGGCAGCA